RNAcentral lists this transfer RNA (42 nucleotides) under Philodendron squamicaule. Lineage: Eukaryota; Viridiplantae; Streptophyta; Magnoliopsida; Alismatales; Araceae. The record is from RNAcentral.
UCCGACUAGUUCCGGGUUCGAGUUCCGGGCAACCCAUACGGA